RNAcentral lists this ribosomal RNA (393 nucleotides) under uncultured bacterium. RNAcentral's name for it is "partial 16S ribosomal RNA". It matches the Rfam family "Bacterial small subunit ribosomal RNA", at positions 523 to 918 of the family's 1533-position model. The record is from RNAcentral.
AUACGGAGGAUGCGAGCGUUAUCCGGAUUUAUUGGGUUUAAAGGGAGCGUAGGUGGGAUAUUAAGUCAGCUGUGAAAGUUUGGGGCUCAACCUUAAAAUUGCAGUUGAUACUGGUUUCCUUGAGUACGGUACAGGUGGGCGGAAUUCGUGGUGUAGCGGUGAAAUGCUUAGAUAUCACGAAGAACUCCGAUCGCGUAGGCAGCUCACCGGGCCGGAACUGACACUGAUGCUCGAAAGUGCGGGUAACAAACAGGAUUAGAUACCCUGGUAGUCCGCACAGUAAACGAUGAAUACUCGCUGUUUGCGAUACACUGUAAGCGGCCAAGCGAAAGCGUUAAGUAUUCCACCUGGGGAGUACGCCGGCAACGGUGAAACUCAAAUGAAUUGACGGGG